ACUUCUCUCUGAUUUUGGAUUUUUUUUUUUUUUUUUUUUGUCUUUUCUUGAGCAUAUGUACACGCAUUGUUAUUCUUCAGAUUUUGGAUGUUUAGCAAAUAAGAUAUUCAA
This 111-nucleotide small RNA is filed under the name Arabidopsis thaliana (thale cress). RNAcentral's name for it is "ATSL304610". Lineage: Eukaryota; Viridiplantae; Streptophyta; Magnoliopsida; Brassicales; Brassicaceae. The record is from RNAcentral.